CGAACGGGUGAGUAAUGCGUGACCAACCUGCCCCAUGCUCCAGAAUAGCUCUUGGAAACGGGUGGUAAUGCUGGAUGCUCCAACUUGACGCAUGUCUUGUUGGGAAAGUGUUUAGUGGCAUGGGAUGGGGUCGCGUCCUAUCAGCUUGUAGGCGGGGUAAUGGCCCACCUAGGCUUCGACGGGUAGCCGGCCCUGAGAGGGCGGACGGCCACAUUGGGACUGAGAUACGGCCCAGACUCCUACGGGAGGCAGCAGGC
RNAcentral lists this ribosomal RNA (257 nucleotides) under uncultured Gardnerella sp. Its description in RNAcentral is "partial 16S ribosomal RNA". It matches the Rfam family "Bacterial small subunit ribosomal RNA", at positions 99 to 354 of the family's 1533-position model. Lineage: Bacteria; Bacillati; Actinomycetota; Actinomycetes; Bifidobacteriales; Bifidobacteriaceae. The record is from RNAcentral.